GACGAACGCUGGCGGCGUGCUUAACACAUGCAAGUCGAACGGAAAGGCCCUGCUUUUGUGGGGUGCUCGAGUGGCGAACGGGUGAGUAACACGUGAGUAACCUGCCCUUGACUUUGGGAUAACUUCAGGAAACUGGGGCUAAUACCGGAUAGGAGCUCCUGCUGCAUGGUGGGGGUUGGAAAGUUUCGGCGGUUGGGGAUGGACUCGCGGCUUAUCAGCUUGUUGGUGGGGUAGUGGCUUACCAAGGCUUUGACGGGUAGCCGGCCUGAGAGGGUGACCGGGUGGUGUGCGGCGGGGAGACCGCCCAAACGCAGACGUGGGGAGGCGGGGGGGGAUGUGGGGAGCGGGGCGGACGCCAUAUGCAGACAGGCGCGGGGGGGGUGGGCGCCUUUCGGGUGGUCACCCGCCGUAGCUGGGGAGGGGGAGCGCGGGACGGUAAUGGGAAAAGAAGCGCCGCCUAACGACGUGCCCGCGGCCGCGAUAACAGCCGGAAGCGCACACGUCUGCCC
Molecule: ribosomal RNA, 509 nt
Filed under: uncultured bacterium
Lineage: Bacteria
Description: partial 16S ribosomal RNA
Rfam family: Bacterial small subunit ribosomal RNA
Source: RNAcentral